RNAcentral lists this ribosomal RNA (523 nucleotides) under uncultured marine eukaryote. Its description in RNAcentral is "SSU rRNA". It matches the Rfam family "Eukaryotic small subunit ribosomal RNA", at positions 621 to 1146 of the family's 1831-position model. The record is from RNAcentral.
AAAAAGCUCGUAGUUGGAUUUCUGUCGAGGGCGGGCGGUCCGCACUAUGUGCGCGUAUCUUGUUCGGUCUUGGCAUCCUCUUGGGGAAUGCUUCUGUGCUUGAUUGCAUGGGGUGGAAUUCAAGACUUUUACUUUGAGGAAAUUGGAGUGUUCACGGCAAGCUACCGCUUUGAAUACAUUAGCAUGGAAUAAUAAUAUAGGGCGUAAGUUCUAUUUUGUUGGUUUCUAGGACAUACGCAAUGAUUAAUAGGGACAAUUGGGGGCAUUCGUAUUAACGCGUCAGAGGUGGAAUUCUUAGAUUGCGUUACGACGAACUACUGCGAAAGCAUUUGCCAAAGAUGUUUUCAUUGAUCAAGAACGAAAGUAUGGGGAUCGAAGACGAUUAGAUACCGUCGUAGUCUAUACCAUAAACUAUGCCAAUUAGAGAUUGGGCGUCGUUCGUUUUAUGACUCGCUCAGCACCUUAUGAGAAAUCAAAAUUUUUGGGUUCCGGGGGGAGUAUGGUCGCAAGGCUGAAAAACUUA